AUUCAUCUGACGAGUUCCAAAUAAGACGAAAUGCGCAUUAUCCUGGAU
Molecule: non-coding RNA, 48 nt
Filed under: Trichobilharzia regenti
Lineage: Eukaryota; Metazoa; Platyhelminthes; Trematoda; Strigeidida; Schistosomatidae
Source: RNAcentral